RNAcentral lists this ribosomal RNA (406 nucleotides) under uncultured bacterium. RNAcentral's name for it is "partial 16S ribosomal RNA". It matches the Rfam family "Bacterial small subunit ribosomal RNA", at positions 30 to 526 of the family's 1533-position model. The record is from RNAcentral.
AUUGAACGCUGGCGGCAGGCCUAACACAUGCAAGUCGAACGAGUGGCGGACGGGUGAGUUAUGUCUGGGAAACUGCGCGAGGGAGGGGGAUAACUACUGGAAACGGUAGAUAAUACCGCAUACUAACAGAUGUGCACAGAUGGGAUUAGAUAGGAGGUGGGGUAAUGGCUCACCUAGGCGACGAUCCCUAGCUGGUCUGAGAGGAUGACCAGCCACACUGGAACGGAGACACGGUCCAGACUCCUACGGGAGGCAGCAGUGGGGAAUAUUGCACAAUGGGCGCAAGCCUGAUGCAGCCAUGCCGCGUGUAUGAAGAAGGCCUUCGGGUUGUAAAGCACUUUCAGCGGGGAGGCGUUACUCGCAGAAGAAGCACCGGCUAACUCCGUGCCAGCAGCCGCGGUAAUUC